Molecule: ribosomal RNA, 517 nt
Filed under: uncultured bacterium
Lineage: Bacteria
Description: bacterial SSU rRNA
Rfam family: Bacterial small subunit ribosomal RNA
Source: RNAcentral
ACGAACGCUGGCGGCGUGCCUAAUACAUGCAAGUCGAACGGCUUUUCUAUGGAAGCUUGCUUCCACUGAGAAGAUAGUGGCGAACGGGUGAGUAACACGUGGGUAACCUGCCCAUAAGAGGGGGGAUAACAUCCGGAAACGGGUGCUAAUACCGCAUAGUUUUCUUGAUCGCAUGAUCGGGAAAGGAAAGACGGCCUUUGUGCUGUCGCUUAUGGAUGGACCCGCGGCGUAUUAGUUAGUUGGUGAGGUAACGGCUCACCAAGACGAUGAUACGUAGCCGACCUGAGAGGGUGAUCGGCCACAUUGGGACUGAGACACGGCCCAAACUCCUACGGGAGGCAGCAGUAGGGAAUCUUCCGCAAUGGACGAAAGUCUGACGGAGCAACGCCGCGUGAGUGAAAGAAGGUUUUCGGAUCGUAAAACUCUGUUGUCAGAGAAGAACAAGUUGGAGAGUAACUGCUCCAGCCUUGACGGUAUCUGACCAGAAAGCCACGGCUAACUACGUGCCAGCCGCCGC